UUUCAAGCAUGGCUUCCUGAAAAUUUGGCCCCUUUCCCCUAUCCACUUGGUCAUAGCUGCGAAGAUGGAACCCACAAUCGUUGGUCAGGCUGAGUGGGCUGUCCGAUUGCAAAGUGUUGCAAAAAGUUGUAAAUGAGAAAUUAUUAACCAAAGUGUGCAGAUUAAUGAGAAACUAACCAUUUUUGUCCGUAUCCACACGUUUUUGAAAAAAUCAAAAAAGAAAAUUGAGUAAUUUCUAUAAUUGAAUACAACCCAAAUUUCAAAGCCAUAGCUUGAUAAACAAAAAAGUUGGGGCAAAUCGGCCAGAUCGGUUAUAUGGCAGAUAUAUAAAAAAAAUAUAGUG
Drosophila ficusphila is the source of this 343-nucleotide long non-coding RNA. RefSeq lists it as uncharacterized. NCBI's taxonomy places the organism in Eukaryota, Metazoa, Arthropoda, Insecta, Diptera, Drosophilidae. The transcript is spliced from 3 exons. The record is from RefSeq and is a predicted model, not a curated record.